GGUGGUGAUGGUAAUUAUGUAUCAAAUGCCUGAUUCUAUUUCUGUUAUUAUUGUUUUGUCAUUUCUGUUCUACCCGAGAGCUGGCUGAACUCGCAGAGAGAAAUCCGGUUUUUCUUUUUGACUUUGUAAAAAUUAAUCAGCCCCGGUAGAAAAGUCAUCGCUCUUGGGGAAAAUAAAGUAGGAGCCACGAAAUGUCAUUUUAGCAGAGCGUGGGUUUUGCGACUGUAGGAAAGGAUUUAAGGACGCGCCUUCUGUUCGCUUUCCUAUGUAACGAGCAAAGGCUACACGCACGCACAGACGCCACAGCUCCCGGAUGCUGUGGCUCCCUUAUCUGGGCUUCUGCAGCUCCAGAAGCCCCUUCGGGAUGCUGCGAGGGGCUCCCGGUGGGUGGUGGUAGGAACGCUGCGGCCGCAGCCGCCACUCCUGCCGCGGCUGCUGUUGUUGCUGCUGCAGUCACGUGGGAGCCCCUUUAAGUUUCCAUAGAGAGGCCUCUCCGGUGUCACAUGAUGGACAUGAUAUAAUGAAACAACAUUGUGGAGAGGAAAGCAUUAGGGGAGCCCACGGCUACAAAAACAAGUGAGUGAGAAGAGGUGGGAGGAAGAGAAACUACGCCACCUCCCCUGCAGCCGAGCCGCACGCAGCGAGAAGUGGGCGACGCCGGGGGGCAGGGAGACGGGGUCCUCAGCCCCGCCCGGGGCCCCCGCCGCCCACCGCGGAGAGAACAACUUUUAGCCGGCAGCCUCGGCCACCACCGCACCUGUCUCCGGAGCCUCCAUCGCUCCUCGUGACGAUCAAAGGGAAAUUCUAGAAGAAUAUGCUCUACAGAUAGACAUGCGCAUCAUUUUCUUCCUCGCGUCUCGCUCGAGAAGCAGGGAAGAGAAAGGGAUUCAAGCGGCAGCGUGCGUUCCGCUCCAAGGCAUUUUAUUAAUGCUUUUGAAGAGUAGAAGAUAUUUUGCCUUCUGGAGUUUCUCUGACUUGCUGAUGGUCUAAGCUCAAAGCUGCCAGUUUAGGGGGGGUGAUCAAUAACUCCCUGUAACAUCUGAGUAAGUAGAGAUGCUGCUGUGUGUUGUGUUUAACUGCUGAAGAAAAAAAUAAAAUUUUGUGACUUUAAAGGUUUUUAAAGUAU
RNAcentral lists this long non-coding RNA (1126 nucleotides) under Ursus americanus (American black bear). RNAcentral's name for it is "lncRNA (ENSUAMG00000003899.1)". The record is from RNAcentral. Lineage: Eukaryota; Metazoa; Chordata; Mammalia; Carnivora; Ursidae.